ACUCCACAGGUGCUUUAACAGAAAAAUAGAUGCUCACCUGCAUUUAUGGAAGACACGGUAACAAAGAGAAAACAUAGUGGCUGUUUCUUAUGCCUCACAAUAUUGAACAGGAUAACCUACUAUUUGACUAAAAAUUAGACAAGAGUUUUGAGCUGCUAAUUCUGUAAAGUUCUAUAUGAUUGUAAGAGAGAAUAAAAGGAAUAUUUAGAAGUCCCUUAUCUGCAAACAGCAGUAAAACUGAAGUGCCAGUCUUCUCAUAUAAUUGAAAACUACAAAUGGGCAGAUAAAGUCAGCUUUUCCAAAUUGAACAGCUACCUAUUGAAUAAUAUGAUUCAGAUUCAUUCAGAGACAGCCCAUUCCAGUCUCACAUUGCCUCAUAGAAAGAAGAACAUGUAUAAGACAGACAUACCAAGCCAGGCAAUCUCUCAAAUUGAAAGUUCAACUAUUUAGUACAUGACGACCAUAAAAGAAUGAAAUAUACAUUUUGAAGAGGUAUUCAAAAAGCACACAUUACAUUUCUGCACCUCUCUCCGAAACUAAAGUCUUACAGGUACAGCAAACUAUUUGCAGCAGGAGAGCAACAAAGUCACUUUUCUACUGUAAGCCAAAAGGACUUUAGCAAGUUGUAGGAAAGAAACUUACAGAUUUAGGAUCAAUGGAUAUCCCAGACAAUGACGCCCCAGCAAUUCUAAAAGACACCUACAAUCAUGCAAAC
Molecule: long non-coding RNA, 715 nt
Filed under: Eucalyptus grandis
Lineage: Eukaryota; Viridiplantae; Streptophyta; Magnoliopsida; Myrtales; Myrtaceae
Description: long non-coding RNA (EGRA_LNC007582)
Source: RNAcentral